RNAcentral lists this ribosomal RNA (259 nucleotides) under uncultured prokaryote. RNAcentral describes it as "partial 16S ribosomal RNA". It matches the Rfam family "Bacterial small subunit ribosomal RNA", at positions 524 to 782 of the family's 1533-position model. The record is from RNAcentral.
UACGGGGGAUGCAAGCGUUAUCCGGAUUUAUUGGGUUUAAAGGGUGCGUAGGCGGAUAUGUAAGUCAGCGGUGAAACUCACAGGCUCAACCUGUGCCGUACCGUUGAAACUGUGUAUCUGGAAUGCGGAUGCUGUGGGAGGAAUGUGUAGUGUAGCGGUGAAAUGCAUAGAUAUUACACAGAACACCGAUUGCGAAGGCAUCCCACAAAGCCGUUAUUGACGCUGAGGCACGAAAGUGUGGGGAUCAAACAGGAUUAGA